RNAcentral lists this ribosomal RNA (450 nucleotides) under uncultured bacterium. Its description in RNAcentral is "bacterial SSU rRNA". It matches the Rfam family "Bacterial small subunit ribosomal RNA", at positions 10 to 504 of the family's 1533-position model. The record is from RNAcentral.
AGUUUGAUCCUGGCUCAGAGCGAACGCUGGCGGCAGGCUUAACACAUGCAAGUCGAACGGGCGUAGCAAUACGUCAGUGGCAGACGGGUGAGUAACGCGUGGGAACGUACCUUUUGGUUCGGAACAACUGAGGGAAACUUCAGCUAAUACCGGAUAAGCCCUUACGGGGAAAGAUUUAUCGCCGAAAGAUCGGCCCGCGUCUGAUUAGCUAGUUGGUGAGGUAAUGGCUCACCAAGGCGACGAUCAGUAGCUGGUCUGAGAGGAUGAUCAGCCACAUUGGGACUGAGACACGGCCCAAACUCCUACGGGAGGCAGCAGUGGGGAAUAUUGGACAAUGGGGGCAACCCUGAUCCAGCCAUGCCGCGUGAGUGAUGAAGGCCCUAGGGUUGUAAAGCUCUUUUGUGCGGGAAGAUAAUGACGGUACCGCAAGAAUAAGCCCCGGCUAACUUC